RNAcentral lists this ribosomal RNA (492 nucleotides) under uncultured bacterium. RNAcentral describes it as "partial 16S ribosomal RNA". It matches the Rfam family "Bacterial small subunit ribosomal RNA", at positions 29 to 507 of the family's 1533-position model. The record is from RNAcentral.
AGUGAACGCUGGCGGUAGGCCUAACACAUGCCAGUCGAACGGCAGCACAGUAAGAGCUUGCUCUUACGGGUGGCGAGUGGCGGACGGGUGAGGAAUACAUCGGAAUCUACUUUUUCGUGGGGGAUAACGUAGGGAAACUUACGCUAAUACCGCAUACGACCUACGGGUGAAAGCAGGGGAUCUUCGGACCUUGCGCGAUUGUAUGAGCCGAUGUCGGAUUAGCUAGUUGGCGGGGUAAGGGCCCACCAAGGCGACGAUCCGUAGCUGGUCUGAGAGGAUGAUCAGCCACACUGGAACUGAGACACGGUCCAGACUCCUACGGGAGGCAGCAGUGGGGAAUAUUGGACAAUGGGCGCAAGCCUGAUCCAGCCAUACCGCGUGAGUGAAGAAGGCCUUCGGGUUGUAAAGCCCUUUUGUUGGGAAAGAAAAGCAGCAGGUUAAUACCCCGCUGUUCUGACGGUACCCAAAGAAUAAGCACCGGCUAACUUCGUG